Heterocephalus glaber (naked mole-rat) is the source of this 1892-nucleotide long non-coding RNA. Lineage: Eukaryota; Metazoa; Chordata; Mammalia; Rodentia; Bathyergidae. The record is from Ensembl.
UACAUAUAUACCUACUUUUAAAAUAUUAAUUGCUUAUAAAAUUUAUACCAAUUUGCUGAAGCCUUGUGUUUGGUAUAUUUUGGAGAUGGGAACAAUGUAAUUGUCAGGGUUUUGUAGACUUUCACUAAAUAGAAGUGUAAAAGGCUAUGGAAUCGACUGAAAAGGAUAAAUAUCUAUCAAAUGUAUUGAAUCAACCUCACAUUGUGUGUGUUUGUGUGUGUAUGUGUGCACACUGAGGAUCAACCCCAGGACCUCCUGUACCUGCUUGGCAAGCACUCUACCACUAAGAUCCAUCCCCAGCCCUCACAUUUCUUGGGCUAUGCUCAAGGUCUGGCUGGGAUAAAGGUUUUGAUUUAUGCUGAAAACCAUUUGUUUGGUUUUUCCACGUUCUGUAAACAGGUUCUUUUCUUUUCAAUUUGUUUUAUUUCUGGUGUUGAAGAUGGUACCCUGGGCCUAGGCAUCCUAGGCAAGUGCUCUGCCACUAAGCUACACCUCCAGCACCUUCUUCUGCAUUCCACUUUUUGGACAAUGGAACACUUCAGGAACAUGCAACUUCUGAGUGAAGGCACCAAUAUGCAUUCACUUCCAGGCUGUUUCUUCAUGCUCUACCUUAAACUCUUCCUUUCCUCCCCUUUCAAGAAAGCAGACCAUUUGGCUAACGAUGUACUUCAUGGUAGAGCAUUUGCUUAACAUGCCCAAGGCCCUGGGUUCAAUCUCCAGAACUGUCAAAAAACAAAACAAACAAACAGCAGACCAGACAGUAAAUGGUAUAUUGGUCAGGACAGGUCAUGCUGUGCUUCACAGUUCUUAAAUUGUAUUUCUUGCUCUUGCUAGAACAGAAGAGCUGUGUGAACCUUAGUCACUUAGGGAUUUGGGCUGAUGAGCAGCCACCACUUUGAACAUUUCUGGAGGAAAAGAAAAUUUGGGAGCAGUCAUAGCGAAGAUUUUAGACCUCUCAAUGACAACAAACAGCCUGCUGAAGCUCGUGUGCCAGAGUUUCUCUACCACUGUUCUGUGGCACUGACCCAGACAUUUCACCUACAAUUCGUGGGCUGGAACUAGGUUCAAGAGCCCACCUAACCACUGGAGGGUCUGAAAGAGAGAACUGGAAGUAUUUGACAAAGAAAACUAAUGAUUAUUAUGAUUGUUUGAGAAUGUGUUGAAAAAGCAGUUUGUGCCAGAGUAGAGGUGACCUAAGCAGAAACAGAAACAAUGUGAACAAGGCAGGAUCACAGUGCUGGCCACCCUGACUCAUCAUGCUUCUCCCUACAGCUGUUUCCAAUUCCAUUCCAGUCUAUAAACGUUUCCUAAAGGCAUUACAAUGGAAGGUGGGGCAAAAACAAAACUAUAGGUAUCGUUUAUCUUUUCUUUUUCUUUUUUGAGGUGGUGGUGGUGGUAGUGGGUUGUUGGUUUUUUGAGACAAGAUCUCACUAUGUAGUCAUGCUGGCCUUGAGCUCUCUGUGUUGCUUAGACUGGGCUUGAACUUGUGAUCCUCCUGCCUCAACCUCCUGAGUGCUGGGAUUACAGGCAUGUGCUACUAUUCACAUCUCACUUUUCUUUUGAAUGUUCACUCAGACUACUUUAGGGUCACCUUGAGAAAAACCAACAAAGUUUCAACAGUGGCCCUAAAUCAAACCUAAGUAUGUAUAUAUGAGCAUUUAGACUAUAAAGGUAUGUAGAAAGGCACUGAGUUAAUUGGUAUUUUUUUUAAAAGAUCCUCUCAUCAUAUCAUUUUCUAACAUGUAUAAAUUUACUAACAUAUACAUAAUACAGAUACAUUUGGCAUAUUACACCAAAGGCAAAACCAACAAAAGCAAAAAUAGGUAAAUUGGACUUCAUUAAAAUAAAAAGCUUUUAUGCUUCUAAGAAAACCAUCAAGAAAGUAAAAAGAC